RNAcentral lists this transfer RNA (86 nucleotides) under Streptomyces sp. 1-11. RNAcentral's name for it is "tRNA-Leu". It matches the Rfam family "tRNA". Rfam says of the family: Transfer RNA (tRNA) molecules are approximately 80 nucleotides in length. The record is from RNAcentral. Lineage: Bacteria; Bacillati; Actinomycetota; Actinomycetes; Kitasatosporales; Streptomycetaceae.
GCGGCCGUGAUGGAACUGGCAGUCAUGCUGGGUUUAGGUCCCAGUGGGUUCACACCCGUGUGGGUUCGAAUCCCACCGGCCGCACC